Molecule: ribosomal RNA, 292 nt
Filed under: uncultured bacterium
Lineage: Bacteria
Description: partial 16S ribosomal RNA
Source: RNAcentral
GGACUACCAGGGUUUCUAAUCCUGUUUGCUCCCCACGCUCUCGCGCCUCAGUGUCAGUAUCAGUCCAGGUAGCCGCCUUCGCCACUGGUGUUCCUUCCGAUAUCUACGCAUUUCACCGCUACACCGGAAAUUCCACUACCCUCUACCGUACUCCAGUCUUGCAGUCCUAGAUGACCUUCCUAGGUUAAGCCCAGGGAUUUCACAUCUAGCUUACUAAACCACCUACGCGCCCUUUACGCCCAGUAAUUCCGAUUAACGCUCGCACCCUCUGUAUUACCGCGGCGGCUGGCAC